RNAcentral lists this transfer RNA (72 nucleotides) under Bos taurus (domestic cattle). It matches the Rfam family "tRNA". Rfam says of the family: Transfer RNA (tRNA) molecules are approximately 80 nucleotides in length. The record is from Rfam by way of RNAcentral. Lineage: Eukaryota; Metazoa; Chordata; Mammalia; Artiodactyla; Bovidae. RNAcentral also lists the same sequence under 5 other names.
UCCCUAGUGGCUCAGGCGGUAAAGAACCUGCCUGCAAAGCAGGAGACCUGGGUUUGAUCCCUGGGUUGGGAA